CGAUUAUUAACAUUCCAGGUGAUGACAGGGGGAGGGGUAGAGUGGGCGUGGCAGGUCAGGGUGAGGGUUUGCCCCACCCUCAGUGUCAUGUCGCUCGGUGACUCCUUAAACUCCGGCCUCAUGUUAACAGACAGAUGGACUUUGUGAUGUGCAGAACCUGCUGCAUUCAUGGCCACACAGGUGUACACACCUGCAUCAGAGGGCUGAUAAAGGGGAGGAGCCUGAAGAGUUACAUCUUAGUAGCACAAAUUCACUCAAGAGUUAAACAUUGUGUGUGUGUGGGUGUGUGCUGACCUGGGUUCUCUCAAUGAUUAGCUCUCCUGUUCUCAGGACAGUAAAUUUUCCCCGCAGGUUCUGGAUAACGUCUCUGUUUUUCUCCCAGUGAAUCUUGGGUUCUGGAACUCCUUGAGCUAAACAAGGCAGCAGACUCUGGAAGCCCUGGAUGACGGACACUUCAGAUUGACCAACAGGAAUCGUGGGGGGGACUUAAAAAUCCAAAACAUAGCAACAUUUACCACCAAAAUAUCUCAGCAGUUUUACAGUGAAACAAAAUGUGUGUGUGUGUGUGUGUUCUGACCAUGCAGAAUCAGUGUGAUGUCACGGCUCGCUCUGCCUGCGCUGUUCAGGGCUGUGCACGUGUAAACCCCGGCAUGUUCAAAUUGUGCGUUUUUAAUGUGCAGUGUUCCAUUUGUGAAGGUCAGCAGGUUGGCUCCUCCCCUCACAGAGCCACCCAAUUUGUGCCAUUGCAGCUCGGGCUCCGGCAAUCCAAUCGCUGAACAUGGCACACUGACAGACUCACCAACACUGAGAGUGUAUUCAUCACGAGGUACAGAAAUGACAGGAGGAACUGCAGAGAAACACAAAUACACAAACAGACACACUUUAGUGCACUGUGAGACCUGCGAGAUGGGGAGGAGGUAUUUGUAAAUGAGGUAUUCGCAGUAAAUGAGGCAUUCGCAGUAAAUGAGAUAUGUGCAGUAGAAAAGAAUGUGCAGUUAACGAGGAAACUGCAGUAAAUGAGGUAUGUGCAGUAAAUGAGGUAUGUGCAGUAAAUGAGAAUGUGCAGUAGAAGAGAAUGUGCAGUAGAAGAGAAUGUGCAGUAAAUGAGGUAUGUGCAGUAAAUGCGGUAUGUGCAGUAAAUGAGGUAUGUGCAGUAAAUGAGAAUGUGCAGUAGAAGAGAAUGUGCAGUAAAUGAGGUAUGUGCAGUAAAUGCGGUAUGUGCAGUAAAUGCGGUAUGUGCAGUAGAAGAGAAUGUGCAGUUACUGAGGUAUGUGCAGUAAAUGAGGUAACCGCAGUAAAUGAGGUAUGUGCAGUAAAUGAGGUACCGUGCAGGAUGAGUUGAGUUUUGCCCUCUGU
Ictalurus punctatus (channel catfish) is the source of this 1356-nucleotide long non-coding RNA. NCBI's taxonomy places the organism in Eukaryota, Metazoa, Chordata, Actinopteri, Siluriformes, Ictaluridae. The record is from Ensembl.